AGCAGCCGCGGUAAUUCCAGCUCCAAUAGCGUAUAUUAAAGUUGUUGCAGUUAGAAAGCUCGUAGUUGAAUUUCGGGAUCAAUAUGUUGGUCGUGCCUUGGUACGUACUGGCAUUAUCGAUUCCUACCUUCUGAAGAACCUCGAUGUCAUUAAUUUGGUGUCUCGGGGAAUCAGGACUGUUACUUUGAAAAAUUAGAGUGUUUAAAGCAGGCUCGCGCUUGAAUACAUUAGCAUGGAAUAAUGAAAUAGGACGUUUGAUUCUAUUUUGUUGGUUUCUAGGAUCGACGUAAUGAUUAAUAGGGAUAGUUGGGGGCAUUAGUAUUCAAUUGUCAGAGGUGAAAUUCUUGGAUUUAUUGAAGACUAACUACUGCGAAAGCAUUUGCCAAGGAUGUUUUCAUUAAUCAAGAACGAAGUUAGGGGAUCGGAGACGAUCAGAUACCGGUCGUAGUCUUAACCAUAAAACUAUGCCGACUAGGGAUCGGAUGAUGUUAAUUUUAAUGACUCAUUC
Molecule: ribosomal RNA, 508 nt
Filed under: uncultured Glomus
Lineage: Eukaryota; Fungi; Glomeromycota; Glomeromycetes; Glomerales; Glomeraceae
Description: SSU rRNA
Rfam family: Eukaryotic small subunit ribosomal RNA
Source: RNAcentral